UAGAUUCCUUCAGUACCAGACACCACGGGUGCUAAAUUCUUUGACAUGCGUGAGUAAAAGGGCAUUCCUGGAUACUACAGCCUCGAAGGAAACUGCACUGAGACCCAAAAUGGCAGGUUUGGUCCAAGGUUCAUACGUUCCUGACCAAAGUUAAAGGCUUCAGCCUCUCAGUGGCAAACAGAGCCAAGAAGCACUGGGCUGGUGGGGCGGGGAGGAAAAAAAAGAACAGCCGCUGGCAUCCUGACAGCUGAGAACACGGCUCAGGAAAUGAAGACACCCCAGGAAGCUCCAGUGUUUCCCUAAAUGCGCAAAGUUGGCGUUCUCUGCUUUUAAGUAACUUCUAUUGGUGUCUGUGCUGCUUACGAAAUAAAGACGUUGAAUUUAUAAACUUUGAAAAACCACUCGUCCGGGAUCACAGCUUCGUCUGCCAACAAAGGAGGCUACCAGGUUCACGGCGGGCAGCUCCAUCUCGACCAAGCUGGAGGGAACCUGCGCGACAACCGCGGGGGCUCCUGGUCUACGAACUCGGGAAACAAACUUGCCCGGCUCCGCCCCGCCCGCGGCCCCGGCUCCAACCCCCCGGGGGGGAUGGGCACGUGGGUUGGGUCACGUGACUGUUGCCCGGUUGCUAGGCGACGGCGUCCGGCUGCUAGCGCCUUAGUCCCGCAACUGCCCAGGUAGUUGCCGGCACCAAUGGAGAACAUCCAGAUUUGCGUCGCAAAGGGCACAAUAUCUCGCCGAGUUGAAGUUCCUGCAAGUGGGCUGAUGGGAGAACUUGGGAGAACGUCCAGGUACAAACCGCAGAUGCGGCAACAGCUGUGUCUCAUCCCAGAGGGCACCCUCUCUCCUCCCUCCUUCUCCGGUGAAAGUGGAGACAGUUGCGGACCUCAGAGGAUCCUUGUGAGGAUAAAUGAACUAAUUCAUGUUGAAGAAAAAAUGAUUCUGACACUUGCUAAAAUGGAGGGGAGAGACCACGUGGAAACUUGAAAAACUGCCUGGGUGGGUCCUGAGAUCAUAUCAAGACACAUACUCUCUCCAGAUACAAAGAAGGACUUUUCU
Aethalodelphis obliquidens (Pacific white-sided dolphin) is the source of this 1059-nucleotide long non-coding RNA. RefSeq lists it as uncharacterized. The transcript is spliced from 3 exons. The record is from RefSeq and is a predicted model, not a curated record. NCBI's taxonomy places the organism in Eukaryota, Metazoa, Chordata, Mammalia, Artiodactyla, Delphinidae.